CCUUUACAAUGCACGAAAGUGUGAUAAGGCAACUCCUUGUGCUUAUCCAAAAGAUAGGCUUUUUUAGUAUGUAGUGUAUACUAAGAAUAAGUGAUAGGGCGAAGACCGGUGCCAGCAGCCGCGGUAAUACCGGCGUCACAAGUAGGAGAUCACGAUUACUGGGUCGUAAAGUAGUUCGUAGCUGGUCAUAUAAGUCUCUUGUGAAAGUUCUGUAGCUUAACUCAGAAUUG
RNAcentral lists this ribosomal RNA (230 nucleotides) under uncultured euryarchaeote. RNAcentral describes it as "partial 16S ribosomal RNA". It matches the Rfam family "Archaeal small subunit ribosomal RNA", at positions 347 to 572 of the family's 1478-position model. The record is from RNAcentral. Lineage: Archaea; Methanobacteriati; Methanobacteriota.